Molecule: ribosomal RNA, 249 nt
Filed under: uncultured bacterium
Lineage: Bacteria
Description: partial 16S ribosomal RNA
Rfam family: Bacterial small subunit ribosomal RNA
Source: RNAcentral
CGCACGGGUGAGUAACGCGUAGGUAAUCUACCCUAAUAUUUGGGAUAACAUUGGGAAACUGGUGCUAAUACCGAAUACCCUUCUUUUCUGUCGGGUUAAGGAGGAAAGGUGGCCUCUUCAUGAAAGCUACCGUAUAAGGAUGAGCCUGCGUACCAUUAGCUAGUAGGUGGGGUAAAGGCCCACCUAGGCUACGAUGGUUAGCGGGUCUGAGAGGAUGAUCCGCCACACUGGAACUGGAACACGGACCAG